GACUUUGUGGCCCAAUGGAUAAGGCGCUGGUCGACGAAACCAGAGCUUCUGGGUUCGAUCCCCAGUGGAGUCG
Molecule: transfer RNA, 73 nt
Filed under: Ipomoea nil (Japanese morning glory)
Lineage: Eukaryota; Viridiplantae; Streptophyta; Magnoliopsida; Solanales; Convolvulaceae
Rfam family: tRNA
About the family: Transfer RNA (tRNA) molecules are approximately 80 nucleotides in length.
Source: Rfam by way of RNAcentral